ACAUGCUAAGUUGGAACAUUUCCUUAAUCAAAUUCAACAGUCUGCACUUCAGACAACUCACAUCCACUCUAUGGCUGAGGAAGAGGAUCACCACACUACUUUUUAACUACUGUCCUUUUAAAAUUGUUGUCCAAGGAUGGCCUUCUAUGUUUGAACACUUGGGACACCAUUAUAUCACCACUGGACUCCCAGAGGAAAGAGCUCUCAAUAAUCACCACUGGACCUCCAAAGAAGGACCAACAUUUCUACAGGAUCACUGCUUCAACAAGACCACAUCCCUCACUCCAAUGGGACAGCUGCCACCACCCUGACCAACAGGGUCAUAUUCUGAUUUUGUCAGUUUAAGCCACUGUCUUUGUACUAGUGCCUUUAUUGCAAAUUUUUCCUAUUAAAUUGUAAUUCUUACUUGGAAUCCCUCA
Molecule: non-coding RNA, 419 nt
Organism: Lonchura striata (white-rumped munia)
Lineage: Eukaryota; Metazoa; Chordata; Aves; Passeriformes; Estrildidae
Source: RefSeq, a predicted model, not a curated record